This 407-nucleotide ribosomal RNA is filed under the name uncultured bacterium. RNAcentral describes it as "partial 16S ribosomal RNA". It matches the Rfam family "Bacterial small subunit ribosomal RNA", at positions 30 to 526 of the family's 1533-position model. The record is from RNAcentral.
AUUGAACGCUGGCGGCAGGCCUAACACAUGCAAGUCGAGCGGAGCGGCGGACGGGUGAGUAAUGCCUAGGAAUCUGCCUGGUAGUGGGGGAUAACGUCCGGAAACGGGCGCUAAUACCGCAUACUAUCAGAUACGCCUGGGCCGGAUUAGCUAGUUGGUGGGGUAAAGGCAUACCAAGGCGACGAUCCGUAACUGGUCUGAGAGGAUGAUAAGUCACACUGGAACUGAGACACGGUCCAGACUCCUACGGGAGGAAGCAGGGGGGAAUAUUGCACAAUGGGCGAAAGCCUGAUGCAGCCAUGCCGCGUGUAUGAAGAAGGUCUUCGGAUUGUAAAGCACUUUAAGUUGGGAGGCGUUACCAACAGAAUAAGCACCGGCGAACUUCGUGCCAGCAGCCGCGGUAAUUC